This 1051-nucleotide long non-coding RNA is filed under the name Gallus gallus (chicken). Its description in RNAcentral is "lncRNA (ENSGALG00010010677.1)". The record is from RNAcentral. Lineage: Eukaryota; Metazoa; Chordata; Aves; Galliformes; Phasianidae.
AAUGCAUUCACUGUAAUUAGAGAUUUGAAACCUGUGUUGUGUAAUUGGUUCUGCUACACUGAGCAGAAUGAGUGUCCUUUUUAAACAGAAGAAGAAGACAGAAAAACAAGUUAACUGAGAGAUCUGUGUAGUCUCCUGCCUGUCCUGCCAUCCCCUCCAGGUGACCGAUCCUUGCUCAUUUGCUCUCACUUCAGCAGUCCUGGGAGGAGCAAUCAGUUCCUGCAGUUUCUCCAAGCAGUUCACCUGACUUCUAGCGGGUUUCUGGGGAGGACCUGGAUCCAGCCUACCUUGAAUAAGAGCUGUGAGGGAGAUGGCUAUGACUUUUCUGGUUCCACCUAUCGUGGGAAUUCACCCUGGCUCCAUGAAUGUGUGACUAAUUUCCUGGACAGAAUCGUAAGGACUGAAAGGGACCCCUGGAGAUCAUUGUGUCCAACCCCCUGCUAAAGCAGUUCCCUACGGCAGGCCACACGGGAAAGCAUCCAGAUGGGUCUCGAAUGUCUCCAGAGAAGGAGAAUCCACAGCCUCUCUGGGCAGCCUGUUCCAGUGCUCUGUCAGCCUCACAGUAAUGAAAUUCCUCUUUGUCUUGGUGUGGAACUUACUGUGUUCCAGUUUCUGCGCAUUGCCCCUUGUUCUGUUGCUGUGCACCACCAAAAAGAGUCCAACUCCAUGGACUCGAUUCUCACACUUCAGUUAUUUAUAAACAGUGAUGAGAUCCCCUUUCAGUCUUCUCUUCUCCAGGCUGAACAGACCCAGGUCUCUCAGCUUUUCCUCGUAACGGAAAUGCUCCAGGCCCUUUAUCAUCUUUGUUGCCUUCCACUGAAUUCUUUUCCUGUUCUCUUCCUGCUUACAUUGAAAGCAGGACAGCACCAUGGGCCUGACCCUAGGGAUACAAUACUGAUAAGAGCACAGGGCCAUUCCUCAGAUCUAAGUGACGCUGAGCAAUUUCUCUGCUCCAGGUUUUCAGUGCAAAAAUCCAUGCUUACCAAUGCAGCUCAUUAAUGCCUGAGAGCAACCUUCAAGUUACCUGUAAUACUCUCUGAAUCAGACAUGC